AAAUUGAAGAGUUUGAUCAUGGCUCAGAUUGAACGCUGGCGGCAGGCCUAACACAUGCAAGUCGAACGGUAGCACAGAGAGCUUGCUCUCGGGUGACGAGUGGCGGACGGGUGAGUAAUGUCUGGGAAACUGCCUGAUGGAGGGGGAUAACUACUGGAAACGGUGGCUAAUACCGCAUAACGUCGCAAGACCAAAGAGGGGGACCUUCGGGCCUCUUGCCAUCAGAUGUGCCCAGAUGGGAUUAGCUAGUUGGUGAGGUAACGGCUCACCAAGGCGACGAUCCCUAGCUGGUCUGAGAGGAUGACCAGCCACACUGGAACUGAGACACGGUCCAGACUCCUACGGGAGGCAGCAGUGGGGAAUAUUGCACAAUGGGCGCAAGCCUGAUGCAGCCAUGCCGCGUGUAUGAAGAAGGCCUUCGGGUUGUAAAGUACUUUCAGCGGGGAGGAAGGUGUUGUGGUUAAUAACCGCAGCAAUUGACGUUACCCGCAGAAGAAGCACCGGCUAACUCCGUGCCAGCAGCCGCGGUAAUACGGAGGGUGCAAGCGUUAAUCGGAAUUACUGGGCGUAAAGC
Molecule: ribosomal RNA, 574 nt
Filed under: Salmonella enterica
Lineage: Bacteria; Pseudomonadati; Pseudomonadota; Gammaproteobacteria; Enterobacterales; Enterobacteriaceae
Description: bacterial SSU rRNA
Rfam family: Bacterial small subunit ribosomal RNA
Source: RNAcentral